This 561-nucleotide ribosomal RNA is filed under the name Neobelocera sp. nov. XHH-2010. Its description in RNAcentral is "partial 28S ribosomal RNA". It matches the Rfam family "Eukaryotic large subunit ribosomal RNA", at positions 1367 to 1840 of the family's 3401-position model. The record is from RNAcentral. Lineage: Eukaryota; Metazoa; Arthropoda; Insecta; Hemiptera; Delphacidae.
UUAAGUCUUGACGAGUAAGAGGGUCGCGGCGGUGAGCGCAGAAGGGUCAGGGCGAGAGCCUGCCUGGAGCCGCCGUCGGUGCAGAUCUUGGUGGUAGUAGCAAAUACUCUAGCGAGGGCCUGGAGGACUGACGUGGAGAAGGGUUUCUUGUGAACAGCCGUUGCACAAGAGUCAGUCGACCCUGAGCCCUAGGAGAAAUCCAAUGUCGAUGGGUAGCUUGACAAAAAUGAAAAAAAAAAAAAACAAAUUUUUUCUAUCAUGUUUGAACAGCUCCUGUCGGGCAAAAGGGAAUCCGGUUCCUAUUCCGGAACCCGGCUGCGUAACCGCUACUUUGCGGGCACUUGCUUGCGAGCGCUCGUCGGGGUAACCCAAACUGGCCUGGAAACCCCGGCGGGGGGUCUGGAAAGAGUUUUCUUUUCUUUAUAAGCGUUCGAGUACCCUGGAAUCCUAUAGCAGGGAAAUAGGGUUUGGAAUGCAAAAAGCACCGCAGUUGCGGCGGUGUCCGGACCUUCCCCCCGGACCUUGAAAAUCCAGGUGAGGGCCACGCGGAAGUCGCGCCGG